Molecule: unclassified non-coding RNA, 143 nt
Filed under: soil metagenome
Description: partial internal transcribed spacer 1
Source: RNAcentral
UCAAAAACAAGCGGACUUCGGUUCCUUGCUGCCACCCUUGUCUUUUGCGCACCGUAUUGUUUCCUCGGCGGGCUUGCCUGCCGGUUGGACAUUAUCAAAACCUUUUUGUAGUUGCAAUCAGCGUCAGAAAACAAUAAUUAUUA